GUCACCAAAGAGUGAGUGAGGUUAUAUUUGUAUAAUUACAAAUGUAUAUUUAUUUAAUUAUUAUUAUAUUUGUAUAAUCUCACUUCAAAAUUAUAUUUGUAUAAUCUCACUUCAAAAGUGCCACAAUCUCCUAUUGGAUGGUAGCAAUUGGACCUGCAUUCUUUGGUGAUGCGAACAAGCAGAGAGAAAUUUAAAAAUAUGCAAGUGGUGUGCUAGAUUAAAAACUCUCUUCUAGGCUUUGCAUUUGUGAAUACGGAAAGAUUUAUUUCAGUCAUUAGAUUAGUUUUAAGUAUUCCCAAGGCCCGAAAUUCUCAUCAACUUUGAGUCUUUUCAAAGACCAUGCUGUGUACCGAUGAUAGGUUGAGAUGGUGCAAUAUAUAAACAAGCUGCAAUUUCAGGUAAUUGGGUCGAGAUAGCAAACUGGCUGUUCGGCAUUGUGUGUGUAGAUUGAAUGGUUAAUUUAUUGGUUCUACUUCCUUUUAAAAUCGUUCUUUUGUCAUCAUCAAUGAAUGUAUUUAGGUAUGUAUUUUUCUCGCUAAUGUUUUUGUUUCCUUUUAGAUGAAAUAGCUCUUGCAUGAGAGAGCAAUUUUGAAAAGAAAGGGGGAAAAUGCAUGUGUUUUCAUUCCUCUGUAUUACUUCAGAGAGGGGAGAGGUGCUCUGGUGGCAUCUUGCUCUAUCCACCUUAGCCUAUUGGUAAAAUCCCUUACUCCGGUGAUGAAGACAUUGGAGAAAUACAUGAUACAUUCAGAUAUGCUGGCCUCUGAGUGACAUCAGAGUUGCAAUAGCACUUACCAUCUAUCUCCCCUCUGGAAUGUGACUUCCUGGAAAACAGGACGGUAACCUAGUCAUUAUCAUAUCCUAGCACAAUGCCUGGAAAAUAAUAGUCAUUGAAGAAGUGUUGUUUGCCGCAUUGAUACUCUGGAAUAGCUUACGAUUGCAGCCUCUCCAUCAUUAUGUUACUAGUCUCACCUGAGCACAAUGGAACUGUUCCUUAAAGAAUGUCACAUGCAUGUAACAACUAGAGCUAAUUGACUGGGUAGAAAGGGAGCCAGAGUUCUUUCUUCCAGGGAUUUAAAAG
Molecule: long non-coding RNA, 1078 nt
Filed under: Equus caballus (horse)
Lineage: Eukaryota; Metazoa; Chordata; Mammalia; Perissodactyla; Equidae
Description: lncRNA (ENSECAG00000054861.1)
Source: RNAcentral